UUCCGAUCCGAUAUUUACUACUGGAAUUUCUGCCAAAGAGUUUUCCGAUAUUUCUCCCGGGAUUUCUUUUGGAGAUUUUCAGAGUUCUUUCAUGAAUUUUCUAAAUAUUUCCUACCAUAGCUUUUUCCAGAGAUUUCCCAGUUCUUCUCAGGAUUUCUUCCGAAGUUUCUCUCGCGUUCCUCAUUGCAUAAUUUGAAUCUAGGGUAAAAACGUCGAUAGGAAUACGAAAGAAGCUCCGAGAGGAAUUUGAAAAGGAAUCCCAAGCAACAGGAAUGAAAGAAAAUCUCUCUAAUAAUGACACAUAACCUAACCUUAGCUUUGGAAACCACUUAAGUUCGUAACAUUUUUUCAUUUUUACGGGAUUUCCGUUUAUUUUUUGGUGAUUGCUACUGCAUGUUCAGGAGACGCAAAUGGACUCAAAUAAUAAUGUAAGUCAUGAAUGGUGAAAAUUUCGUUGCAAUCGGUUCAUUGAAGCCGGAGAUAUAACAGCUCAAAGUUGGCUAUCGAAUAAUUUUACCUUUUCCAAGAAUCUUUAUAACUUCGUGGAGAAUGGCCCGAUCUUUUCCAAAUUUAAACCACUGAUACACAACUAGUUGAUGAACUUACAGCAAAAAUUUGAGAAUAUUUGAUGCACUUUUCGAAAAGUUACAGUUAUUUGAACAUUUUUGGAAAAGUGAAAAUUUUACCUGUCCCAAUCAUUUUGUCUAUCCCCUGUAGUACAUUCCAACGGAAAAUUUUAAGACUAACAUUUACAUGUCAUUGCUUCAAAUUUUGUUUUAUUGACUAUUUUGUAAGAAAAUUAUAAUAUUUUAAAAACUUGUUUGGUAAAAUGAAUUAAGAGUGUCAUGAAGGCGGUAUUAUUGUUCACGAAAAAAUUCAAGCCAAAAAACUAGAAAGCAUUGCAUUAUAUUUUUAUUUGUUGACUAUUGAGUAUUUUACGGCUUAUUAGACUUUUGUGCAAAUAUUAUUUGCACAGUGACUAUUUGCACACCUCACUGAACAUACACGCUUUCUCACGGUUACCCCGACAACAACUCUUUUCCUCACUGUUUAUACUCUUCAAAACAUUGAUGUGAUUGAUCGUCAUAGUUCAGUGAAACAUUCAGUAGAACCGGCGAAGAAAUGCGAAAUAAAAGUUAUGUUCUCAGGCAUGGGAGGUUCGGGGAUUAAAUUCAAUUGAAUCCAAAGCUCUGUAAAAUAUCUAUGCAUCCAGAAAGUUGAACAUGGAGAUUCCAAACAAUGGAGUCGAAAUCUAGGUCGUAGUGAAAGGGUUUUGUUGAGAUGGACAGUGUGUACUAUAUGUUGUACUCCUGGAACCUCCGGCCUCCAGUCAGAAAGCUGGCAAAUCUACAAUUAAGGUGGAGAAACACUCAGAGCGUACGGACAGGGCACGUCAGGGAUGAAACAGGGACUUCAGGUUCACAAGAUCGCGCUCGGAACUAGGAGGGACAACACGGGUUAAAACCGAUCUCUAAAGCACUCUCAUAUACCAGCUCAGUCCCCACACAUGCAGUCACUCCCAUCCAAAAUCCCUGUCUCCUCCCUGAUGUGGCCCUAAUAUUCCUACGGGCUGAACGGCUCCCCAACCCAAACACGACCUGUAAUCCACCCGGCUGCGACCGAAGGCCAAAAACACAACACAGGUACACCAUUCAUUACUGUAUCGCACAACCCGGUCCGGAAAGAAAUUGUCAGCGCAUAUCACCGGGGAAAAAACCAUUCCUUACACGAAAUCUGUCCGUGUAAGGUAUAAGUCGUAUGUGAGCUCGUCUUCCUUGUUUUGGUAGAAUGUCAAGCAUUAAGAUGCAUACGCCUACUAAAAUUAGUGAGUGUGCAAAUUGUAUCUCACUAAAUCAAAACUGCACUAGAGUCUAGAAAUUCAUAAAAUCGUCAAUACCUUGUGUGAAAAAUGUGGUAUUUUCCUAUUAUUCCGAGUGAAAUAAAAUACGAGUGUAAUAAAAAAUUCACUAGGAUUGUUCAAAUAAAUCCACUAAACUACUACGAUAAAUUUGAAGUUGAAUAACUACAUAUCAUUGAUUUAAAUUUUGGCUUAUUCGCAUUUUUGUGGUAUUCUCGUACAUUUUUUUAUAAAACAAAAUAUUAGUGUAAUGUAAACAUCAACAUUUUAUCAAAAACAGGUCCAGUACAUUAUAACGAAAAAUUUAAGGCCAUACCACAGAGAACAGACGUUUAUCUUUGCUCUCUGCCUUGUGUAAAACUUUGUAACGGUCAUAUCAGAGCAUGUGGUUAUGCUUCCGUUGGGUGGCGCCAGCGUCCCAUUACUUACAUUGUUGUGUUGUCAUUUUUGUUUCCAGUGCUCGCCGUUUUUGGCCGUUUGUCACUCGUGUCGCUUUGUGGGCUAGUGUAUUUUAACGAUGAACACUGCCAUCGUGGGGUCAAAUCGACUUUAUCCAGCUUUCCACGCUAGCCAUAAUGGCGGAUGCCAUAAAAAAGUUUGACAAGAACUGUGCCCUACGCUGAACUGAAAUUGACGAAAUUAUUCUUAGCAAGCUACGAUAUAAAAACCGUGUUGUUGUUCGCUGUCAGACGUGAUUUUUUCGCUUCAAUUUAUUUUUUCAUUCCAUCACUUACGAUUUUCUUUAUUUUAGGAAAUGGUAUUCGAGUUUCAGUGAUCGCAUUCCUUAUAGUGACCGGAAGUUAAACCUACAUCUAAACCAAACAUAAAAUCAGCUUCCGUAUCCACACCGUAUCCUGGCAUUCGUUUGGCUUGUAAUACGAAGAAAAUAGUGGCCCAAUGCUGCUUCUCGAGAACGUUAUGGUUUACAAACUUAGGAACGCUUACAGAUGGACCUUGAGUUGACCUGAUGUUCUACUUAACCCAGAAUCGUUUGCGUAUCAAAUACAUUGAAGUGGAGAUUUCCCCGGACAGGGACAGGUCGACGCCGCCUGAUCCAUGGCAGGGCAUAGUGGAAAACUAUAAUUUCGUUAGAUAGAAAUAUAGGUCUGGGACCUAGACGUGGAUUUUUCGGGACUUGACCCUGUCUGGUCUAAUAAGCAAAGCGCUUGAGGCUCCCCUUUUCUAAUAAUUAAAGACAAAAAUAAACAUUUUAAAAAAAUCCCUCCGUCCUCCCUGACGUUCAGGCGUCUCAGUUGUGGUCAAUAUCGUUAACUAUCAAAACCAUCGAAAUACAUUUCCUCUUUGCUUAUACCUCAUAUGGAAAGAAUUGCAAUAUGAGUAGUUCAAAAAGGUAAUUCCGGCAAUUAUCCAUACGCUCUGCGAAAAUAAUAGGCAAUCUAUACCUGCCCAAAUAUUUGGUACAUUCGGAGUUGACAACAACGAACCCAGCUUUCCAAUCAAAGAAAAUGGUGCUUGAUAUUGGCUUCUUGGUCGCUUAGAUGACAGUCAGUGGGCGAAGAGAAUUUUGUAAUUUUCCUAUGAAGAUUUUUGUUUGUGAGGGCUAGUUAGAAUUCACGUGAUUCUUUAUGAUCGGUAAUGGGUUUUAAGAGAUUCUUGAUUAUUAAGUAUUUGGGACAAUUUCAAUGAGAAUUUUUGAGGAUUUUGAAUUCUGGGGUUCAACGAUGCACUUAACGGAGCUGACGAAAAUGCGCGCUCCUUUGCCUAACUCAUCAAAAUCGUUUCAACGGACAAUGCUCCAAAAUCAUUUCACGGGAUCCAGUUUCAUAUUCAGUUACAUUAAACCUAAAAUAAAAUGCAAA
Molecule: long non-coding RNA, 3678 nt
Organism: Aedes albopictus (Asian tiger mosquito)
Lineage: Eukaryota; Metazoa; Arthropoda; Insecta; Diptera; Culicidae
Exons: 3
Source: RefSeq, a predicted model, not a curated record